CUAAAUCCCCAGCCCCUCAAGAAAAUUUUAAAGGGGCUUGGGAUGGGCAGAAUAGACCUGCUCACCCCCAUAGCAGCCAGGAAGUGGAGAGAAGAGAGGAGCAUGGGUCAAGAAAGACACUCUUCCAUGUCACAGCCACAGUGACCCACCUCUUCUAACUAGGCCCUAUGAGACUUUUGGGAGAUGGUUUAGAUAUACACCAUAAUAUUCUGCCUCUUGCCCCCAAAAGGCUCAUGUCCAUCUCUGAGUUCCCAAAUUCUUCACAGUUCCAGUACUGCGGAAAAAUCCUAAGUCCAAAGUCACAUCUGAGACUCAAAGCAAACUCAACUGUGAGCCCUGUAAAAAUCAAAAAGUUUAAUACUUUUAAAAUAUAGGGCAAACAUUCUCAUUCUAAAAGGGGGGGAUGGAAGAUUUCAAAGGAAUUGAAUCAAUAAGCAAGUUGUGGUAAAUUGUGAGCUCCAAAGGGUAUGGGCAGCCCCAUCCCUGUGGCCACUCAGGCUGGCUCCACUUGCUAUGUAGUUUUCCUCAGUAGGUGUUUUAAAUUCCUGACAUUUCCAACUUCCUAAGGUCACCACUGUGCCUUUGGCUUCAUGUAUCAUCCUCUCAGGAACUCCUGGCAGGGACUGUGACCCUGUCACACAUUUAUGCCUGGUCUUCCAGGCCUUCUGAAAUCUGGAUAGAAGCCUCCAUUACCUCAUAACUCUUGGAUUCUGCAUGCCUGAAAAGUUAGAACCACUUGGAUAACAUCAAGGUGUCCUGCUGGCUGGAGCAGUAGCCUGGCCCCUGUGGACCAUAGCUCCAUUGGUCUCUUGGUUCCUGGAUGGCUGGACUUGGGGUAUGUUUCCUGAAAGCUUUUUUUCUUUUCUUUUUUUUUUUUCCUUUGGUACCAGGGAUCGAACUCAGGACCUUACGCUUUCAAGGCAGGCAGCAGCACUACUGAGCUAAAUCCCCAGCCCUGAGAUCUAUUUCUUUAGGCAGCCCUGAAUGAGCAGGGCACCCUGGGGUUCUCAAGCAAAGUCUUUAGAGGAGUCUAUGCUUUUACACCUUUGAGUGUGGCUUGACUAAGGCCUGGGCUUUUCCUGAGAUGACCUCAAGGCAUCUUUCCUAUUGUCCUGAUGCAAAGUACUUGGCUUUUUUACGCUAAUCUUUUCAGCAUCCACACAAUCCAGGGCCCAACUUUACAGGUGCUUCCUUUCUGGCCAAGCUGCACAUUUUCCAAAUUACAGUGGUACCUCGGUUCACAAACUUAAUUUGUUCUAUGAUUUGAGGAAAGAUGGCUGAGGUUGUGUUUGUCACCUGAAGAAUUUGCAAACAAAAACAAAAUUUUACCAAACACUUAUGUUUGCAAACCAAAUUGUUUGGAAACAAAAGCAUUUGUGAACUGAAGUACCACUGUAUUUAUCUCUGUUUUUGCUCACUGUAGAUCUGACUAAAAGAGUCAGCAGUACUCAUGCCACAACCUGGAUGUUGAAAUUCCCUCCACCACUUUAGUCUACUACCUUUAAAAUCAGCCUCACACCCACCAAGUUUUAGGACAUGAACAGUGUAGACAAAUUCUUUGCUGGAAUGAAACAGGUGUGGCCUCUAGUCCAGUGUCCAGUAGAGUACAGCAGUACAUCAGUUCAUGAACAGAAGGGUUUGGCAAAUUUUUGCUUCUAUUCACAAACUGCAUUGGAUGACAAACGACUGCAACCAUCUUCCCCAUUCUGACAUAGUGGCUUCCUCUAGUUGAGAUUAUGGUUGCAGACAGACCUGUGCACACUUGCUGUGAUUUUUUUUGUGUGAUUUUUAGCACAUACAGUACAAUAUUAUUCAAUCCAGCAUGGCUCCAAAGAAAGUGCAGAGCAAGCAUGGUGGUAAAAAAUGAAAGUGCAGAGCAGUAAUGAAGGUGAGAAGAACAUGCAGAGCAGUAAUGAGGGUAACAAGAAAGUGUAGAGCAAGAAUGGUAAAGUUUUGAAGAAAGUAACCAUUGAAUUGAAAGAAAUUAUAGAAAAGCGUGAGUAUGGUAUUCAUGUGACUGAUCUGGCCUCAGAGUACAAGAUGGUGAUGUCAACAAUCGCAACUAUUUCGAAGAAUAAGUAUGCCAUCAAAGGAGCUGAUGUGGCAAAAAGAGUAAUGAUAUUAACCAAGUGUUGAAAGAGGUGGAAAAACUUUUGUUAGUGUAGUUGAAUGAGAAAUAGCUGCCAGGUGAUAGCAUUAGUGAAGCUAUGAUCUGUGAAAAAGCCAGGAGAUUGCACAGUGAUUUACUGCAAGAAAAUCCCUCUACAACUGCAACAAGUGAUGAAUUAAAGCGAGUAGAGGGUGGUUUGAUAAAUUCCACAAGAGAAGUGGCAUCCACAGUGUGAUAAGAUAUGGUGAGACUUCCCAUUCUGACAAGGCAGCUGCAGAAGUCUAUAAGAAUUCAUGAAGGCAGAAGGAUACCUUGCUCAAUAAGUGUUCAACUGUGAUAUAACAGGGUUCUUCUGGAAGAAGAUGCUGAACAGAACUUAUGCAGGAGGGAAAGGCACUGCCAAGGCUAAGCCCAUGAAGGAGAGAUCGACUCUUGCUGUGUGCAAAUGCAAGUGCUGAUCUGAAGAUUGUCACUACUGGUGUACCAUUCCCAGACCCCUCAUGCAUUCAAAGAACAGAAUAUGAACAAGGCCAGACUGCCUGUCAUGUGGAGGUCCAAUGGGAAAGCUUAGGUCACAAGACAGUGUUCAUGGAAUGGGUGCAUAAGGUGUUUGCAUCCACUGUUAAGAAAUAUCUUUCUAGGCCUCAGAUUUACCUCAGUGGUGCCGUGCCUGCCUUGAAAGUGUAAGGUCCUGAGUUUGAUCCCCAGUACAAAAAAAAAAAUCUUUCUGACAGCCAACUGCCUGAAAGUUGCCUUCUUCUGAUGGAUAAUGCCCUGGAACACCCUCCAGCUUUGGUAGAUAUGGAAGCUGACUAUGACUUCAUAAAGGUCAAGUUCCUCCCCACCAACACCUCUUCUGUAGCCCCAUGGACCAGCAAGUGAUCUGCAACUUCAAGAAGCUGUGCACAAAGGUGCUCUUUACCAGAUGUUUUAAUGUCACUGAAGAGACGUUAUUGACUGUGAAACAGUUCUGGAAGAAACAUUUCAAUGUCCUUCACUACAUCAACCUGAUUGGCACAGCCUGGGAAGAUGUCAACUACCGGACCUUAAACUCAGCCGGGAGGAAACUGGUCAGAAUGUGUCACUGAACGUGACUUUGAAGGGUCUGGUGCACGGGUAGUGGAGGAGAUUGUGUGCAUGGUCAAGAGUAUGGGUCUGAAUGUCAAUGGUACAGACAUAGUUAUAGGGAAAAGUUUUAGAGAUCUUAGUAGAUUGAAUAUUAAGGUAGUUGUAGAAGCAAAAUAAGUAAUGUGUUCCUUUAAGGUUUGCUUUUCCCAUAACUCUUGCUGUUUAAGGUGACUUUAAGGUGAUGGUCAUCUGGCUCUUUAACCAGUAACUUCAUUAACCUAAUAAAGUUACUAUGCCUGGGUGAAUUUACAAUGUAUAUGUGCUUACCUUGUGUCUGUGACUUGUAAAUAGGAACUGGAAUUGUAUUUACACAUCAAAGACCACUAGGGAUGAGAUAAUGGCUAAAAGGAUAUAAAAAGGAAAUGCUGAACAAAGGGGUGCUUGGAUACUAACCAGACCAGUUUCCGGUGGUCCCACCUGCUUGCAAGUAGAACUUUUAUUAUUUUACCCUAAUUCUGUAUCUCUGUGUAAUUCUUUCCGAGAUUUCUGGAACAUUUGGUUCCCUGACCAGGAAUUGGGAAUGAAAUAGCCCUUUUGGGCAUCGACUCAAACCCCACCAGAGGGAGCAGCUCUCCCUCUCCUUGAGAGGAAAGGCACGCCCCGGGACUAACUUCCUAGGCUCCCCAACAGGACAUGGAGACCUGCUCACCAGGUGGGAUCGCCCGAACCUGAGACGGAGGACAACAGAAGGAGGGCUGCUGCUGUUGGGGUCUCAUCUGUCUUUUUCCUUUGCUGGAUGGGAGCAGCUUCUUGGAAGAUGGGGUUCGUCAUGCUGGAUAUGUGGUAACCACAAAGGAUGAGGUGAUCCUAGCUGGGGUGCCUUCCUAGUGGCUAGUCAGCACAAUGUGCUAAGCUCUGGGCACUCAUACAGGCACUCUGAUGGGCAAAGGGUAAAAAGGAUUCUGUUCAUGAUUGGUUGGCUCUAAGGAAGAAGCAGCAUGGUAGAAGGGCAUGGCAGAGGACAGCUGCUCACACCAUGGCAGCCAGGAAGCAGAGAGCAAUGGGAGGAGAUGGGGGAGGAAAUAAACCCUUCCAUGUUCUGUCCCCAGUUAUUCACCUCUUCCAACCAGGCUCCACUCCAAACACAUGAGACUUUUUUUUUUUCCCCACAUGAGACAUUUUUUUUUUUUUUUUGUACCUGGGAUCAAACUUGGGUCCUUGCGCUUGCGAGGCAGGCAGCAGAACCACUGAGCUAAAUCUCCAGCCCUCACAUGAGACUUUUAAGGACGAUUUCAUUGCACUAAAAGUUGAGGAAAAGAAUAGUGAAUAUUGGGCCAGAGAUUUAGCUCAAUGGUUCUGUUGCCUGGCCUGCAAGCACAAGGACCUGAGUUCAAUCCCCAGUACCAAAAAAAAAAACCAAACCAAAAACAAUUAUAAUUCAACAAACAUUUUUUUUUGGAGACAAGGUCUUACUAUGUUGCUUUAUUACAUAUAAUACUACAACCCCCCAAAAUGAAAAAGCUUCUCACUAAUUCUAUAAUUUUCAUGUUUAAUAGUAUAAAUAAUUAUUUUUAAAUUUUGCUCUGGUAAUACAUAUCAUAAGACGUUUCCCAUGGAGAGUUGUGCAGACGUGUGCAUUUUAAUGAUUUAUUUUCAAAUAAUUUCAAAUGUGUAGCAUUGGAAAACUGUAAGGAACUCUGUUGUCCCCUUCAUUCAAAUUUCCAAAUAAUAUGUUAGUGCACUUGUUCCAUUGCUCACUCUUUGUAUAUGGUGUGACCUGCAUUAUUGAGUCUUUUUCUGAACAUUUUAAGGGUCAAUAAAAUAAACCGCAGACAUAAAGUCUUAUCACUCUUAAACACUCUGGUGUAUUUCAUUUAAACAAGGGCACUCCUGUGUAAUGGUAAACAAUCUUGCGCUUGAGAUCAGCAUUGGUACCACAUUGCCAUCACAUCCAUGGUGCCCAUCCACAUUUCAUCUGCUAUCUCCCCAAGUUCUUUUUCCUUUCUGCUUUUGAGUGCUAC
Molecule: long non-coding RNA, 5199 nt
Filed under: Heterocephalus glaber (naked mole-rat)
Lineage: Eukaryota; Metazoa; Chordata; Mammalia; Rodentia; Bathyergidae
Description: lncRNA (ENSHGLG00000045142.1)
Source: RNAcentral